RNAcentral lists this ribosomal RNA (293 nucleotides) under uncultured bacterium. Its description in RNAcentral is "partial 16S ribosomal RNA". It matches the Rfam family "Bacterial small subunit ribosomal RNA", at positions 30 to 320 of the family's 1533-position model. The record is from RNAcentral.
AUUGAACGCUGGCGGCGUGCUUAACACAUGCAAGUCGUGCGGUAACAGGCGUAGCAAUACGUGCUGACGAGCGGCGAACGGGUGCGUAAUACAUGGGAAUCUGCCCUUUAGUGGGGAAUAACCCGGCGAAAGCCGGGCUAAAUGCCGCAUAAGAUCGUCGGAUGAAAGCGGGGGAUCGUAAGACCUCGCGCUGAUGGAUGAGCCCAUGUUCGGAUUAGCAGUUGGUGAGGUAAAGGCUCACCAAGGCGACGAUCCGUAGCUGGUCUGAGAGGACGGCCAGCCACACUGGGACU